GAUGAACGCUGGCGGCGUGCCUAAUACAUGCAAGUCGAGCGAACGGACGAGAAGCUUGCUUUUCUGAUGUUAGCGGCGGACGGGUGAGUAACACGUGGAUAACCUACCUAUAAGACUGGGAUAACUUCGUGAAACCGCAGCUAAUACCGGAUAAUAUUUUGAACCGCAUGGUUCAAAAGUGAAAGACGGUCUUGCUGUCACUUAUAGAUGGAUCCGCGCUGCAUUAUCUAGUUGGUAAGGUAACGGCUUACCAAGGCAACGAUGCGUAGCGGACCUGAGAGGGUGAGCAGCCACACUGGAACUGAGACACGGUCCAGACUCCUACGGGAGGCAGCAGUAGGGAAUCUUCCACAAUGGGCGCAAGCCUGACCGAGCAACGCCGCGUGAGUGAUGAAGGUCUUCGGAUCGUAAAACUCUGUUAUUAGGGAAGAAAAUAUGUGUAAGUAACUGUGCACAUCUUGACGGUACCUAAUCAGAAAGCCCCGGCUAACUACGUG
Molecule: ribosomal RNA, 497 nt
Filed under: uncultured bacterium
Lineage: Bacteria
Description: partial 16S ribosomal RNA
Rfam family: Bacterial small subunit ribosomal RNA
Source: RNAcentral